GGGGGUUUAGUUAAGUGGUAUAACAGCAGUCUCCAAAACUGCUAUCGGGGGUUCGAUUCCCUCAACCCCCG
This 71-nucleotide transfer RNA is filed under the name Candidatus Spechtbacteria bacterium SB0662_bin_43. RNAcentral describes it as "tRNA-Trp". It matches the Rfam family "tRNA". Rfam says of the family: Transfer RNA (tRNA) molecules are approximately 80 nucleotides in length. Their secondary structure includes four short double-helical elements and three loops (D, anti-codon, and T loops). Further hydrogen bonds mediate the characteristic L-shaped molecular structure. tRNAs have two regions of fundamental functional importance: the anti-codon, which is responsible for specific mRNA codon recognition, and the 3' end, to which the tRNAs corresponding amino acid is attached (by aminoacyl-tRNA synthetases). tRNAs cope with the degeneracy of the genetic code in two manners: having more than one tRNA (with a specific anti-codon) for a particular amino acid; and 'wobble' base-pairing, i.e. permitting non-standard base-pairing at the 3rd anti-codon position. Lineage: Bacteria; Candidatus Spechtiibacteriota. The record is from RNAcentral.